UUUAGUCUCUGUGGUCCUGCAGUUUGAGCUGCACAUACUCGUGGAGCGAUGGCCUGGUCAUGUGACCACCCACAAGUUUGUUUUAAUGUCAGUAUUUUAGGUGAGGCUACCAGGUUGUGCAGGUAUCAAGUGUGAACUUUAGGCUUCCCUUGUUCAGCCCCAGGACACAUGACAACAAACAUCACAAAUAUGGGGUUGAAAAGCAUCACUUUCCCUCUCAUAGUAUCCUGGAAGCCAAGCACAGCAGCUUUGUGGGUGUCAAGGAGGAACCCCAUUCCCUUAAGUGUGUUUCCUGUUGGCUGCUCAUGCUCCUUCCCCCUUUCCCAGGGUUCCCUCCAGCAGCAGUGGGUGAGUUUCUCUCAUGUUCUGUGCCCCGCUACACUUUUAUCUUCAGUGUCUCAGGACUGUAGCUAGAAAGGCUCUCUGCCUUUAAGGGCUCAUGUGACCAUGUUAGGCUCAUCCAUGUAAUCGAGGCUCUCCUCCCUAUUUUAAAUUCUGUCAUCUCAACUCCAUUCACAAAACUCCUUUUGCCAUGAGACAUCACAUAUUCACAGGUCUUGGGGACCGUGGUGGGGACAUCAGUGGGGAGGUAUUCUGCCUACAGAGGGUUAGGGGAAGAGUUUACGGAUCCUGGUGACAGAUGAUAACAUAAUGAAUCUGUUAUUUCUAAACGCAUCAAGACCUGUAAAAUCUCCCCGUUCUCCUGAGAGUCUUCCUCUAAAUAGAUCCCAACUAUGUGAGGAGAGGCGUGGUAGGAAUGUGUUUGAGGGGAGAGAGUGUAGGGUGGGGCCGUAACUGAUUUCCGCUGUCUUCUCUUUUGGAUCGGACUUACUCGGUGGCAAGUUUCUUUUGCUUAAAGCACUGUUUGACAAAUGUCACCUUCUCCAUGGAGACCACCCGUUUCUCAUCAUCACCAGCUGCCCCUCCUCCAACCGCCCACUCCCACUGCUAUUUGGAGUUGAAAGCUGUUCACUUUCAUAAAAUCCUCACCCUUGAGGUGUGUGUGGGUGCUGCUUAAUUCUCUCAUUGGAUACUGAUUUUAUUUAGAAAUCACUUAAAGGAGUCGUUAAAAAUGAAAAUUCCUGGGCAGUUUCUGGGAAACUGGAAAUGUUGCUUAGAUAUCUGGGUGUCGUGGCAGCAGAUACCUCUCUCUACUCUCAACAUUUGGGAGGUGGAGGCAGAAGGAUCAAGCGUUAUCCUUAGUGGGGUCAAGGCCAGCCUGAGUAGCUGAGUGAGAUUUUGUCUCAAAAAGCAAACAAAACAGCAACCAAUGAAAACAACAGAAAGAAAGAGAAGAAAGAAACAUUGCCUAGAAGAGGGUCUAGCUCCUUAUUCCCAACAAGCUAUGGGGCCCAAAUGCAGAUCUUAGCAUCUUCAGUGUCCAGAGGCCUCUGAUGAGAUACUGGAUUUGAAACGUCGCCACCCCAUGGUAGGAGAAGGAACUGCACCUCUGGUGUCACUGGACUGAGUUCCUGAGAGCUUAGCUCCUGUGCUCACAUUUCUUGUGUACAGUGCAUGCUAUUCAGGGCACUGGGGCUCCCAAAUAUGUAUCCUUCAAAAUUUGGUUAAAAGAAGGAAAAGUUAGGAAGACUCUCAGAGGUCUAGUAGUAGAAGUAUCGUUCAUGGAUGAGCAAUGCCCCUGGGCAAGCAAGCAGUCAUUAACACAGGAAGAGGGAACAGGAAAGAGACAUACAUUGGGUCCCAUAGUUUGAGUAGCUGAUCGAGGCACCCAGGCUGACACCUCUGCAGAGCCUCCAUUGUCUGGGGCUGAUUGGCAGGUGAGCCACCCUUCUGGUUGCCACUUGAACCCUGGGGCCUCAUCACCUCCCGACUGUGAAGCCCUAGUCCCCAUCUGCUUCCUUGGGAGUGUGGGUCAUAUUCACUCUUCCUUUUCCCUCAGUAACUGCCGGCUUCAUCCAGCCCCACCCCUGAACAAAAGCCCUGAUCCCCAGAGGCCCAGCCUCAGUGGGACCAGUUGAAUCUUUUAUCUUCAGUUUUGGAAAGUCAGGUCCUGAGUCCUAUUGUAUGUGACAUCCUUUCCAGCUACUUAAAAUGUCUGGAUUAGAUCUCCUGUUUUAUCAGUCUGCUGCAAACAGUGAAGCCUGGCCAGAGGCAAACUCUUUGCCACAGGCACUUCCUGCCCAGAGAAAUUGUUCUGGAAAUUUCCUGAAUGAAGCACCCAGUCUCCAAAAGAGGACCUGGUUUUUAAGAGUCUUCUAGGAGAUGCAAAUUCAGGCGGCAAUGUCUCCAAGAACAGAAUGGACCCCUUGACUUUUCCCUGCUUGGAAGUCAGAUGAAGUCUCCCUUAUGACUGCAGAUCUUUCUCCUAGGCCCACUCUUAGUUCCUACAGAACUUUCUUUAGGCCCAGGCAUGUGGCCGGCCAUCUGGUGACACCAUGGGGCUGUGGAUCUUCAAGGUCACCUAGACACUACAUCUUACAAAAUUAGCAUCAUCUGGGAAUGGUGCUCUUUGCUUCGCCCCUCAACCAUCAAGAGGAAGGCAUUCCACACAGGCCUCUGCUGUGACAGGAUGCUCUGGGACCCCUCAGAGCCUGCUGAUGCACAGUCAUUUUCUUUUAAGAUUUAUUUUAUGAGUGUGAUUUAAAAAAAAAAAAAUUGUGUCUGCUUGCACGUAUGUUCCUCCUUGGUACUCUCGGAGACCAGAAGAGGAAGUCAGAUCCCUUGGAACUGGUGGCUUUGAGCUGCCAUAUGGGUGCUGGGAUUAAACCUGGAUCGUCUGAAAGAACGGCCAGUUCUCCUAACCACUAAGCCAUCUCUCCAGCCCUGUAUGCAUGUAUAUAUUUGUGUGCAUGUGUAAGUGGACAUGUGUGUACAGUGCCGGCAGGGGCCAGAAGAGGGCACCAGAUCCCUCAGAGCUGGGCUUAGGGUUGGUUGUGAGCCACCAUUGUAAGCACCUGGAAACCAGCUGGGGUCCUCUCUAAGAGCAAGUGCUCUUAACCAGGGAGCCAUCUCUCCAACCUCUCCAUUUGCUUUCAGCAGCAGUUGUGUGUGUGUGUGUGUGUGUGUGUGUGUGUGUGUGUGUGUGUGUGUGUUUUGCAGUCUUUACAUAAUUUCUGAUUUAUUUUUUCCCCCUUUUUGGUGGAGAAUCCAUAAAGACAUUGGCUUUAGCGGUCCCCUAGCUCUCAGCGAUCUCUCAUCCAGACAGGAUGCAGUCUCCUCUUUGAACCUGGCUUUGCCAAGCAGAGUUACCCUCCUUCAGGAAUGGCAUGCAUGCUUGGAAUGUGAUUUUAUCUUAUCGGCCUCCUCCCCAGCUGCCAAGGUCCUAGCCAGGCUCCAUGGAGGGUUCCAGAAACUUUUUCUCUUUAAAGCCACUUGCCAGGAGCCUGCCCACUGCUCUUCUAGUUUCAACCUGUUGCUUCUGGGUCCCUCCUCUCCCAAUGACCUCUGGCCUCCUGCAAUGCUGAAUGCCUUGCGGGCGGGAGUGGGGGCUAUGGGGGAGAGGAUAAAAAUCAAAGUGAUUCUAGAAACUUCAUUGUGUACUUUGAUGUUUUGAAAAUUCCGUGGUGGAAGAAUAUGGAGUUCAGCUUUUAAUUAAUGAAAGCCCACCCCGGGGGACCAAACUAUGGGAUUAAGUCAAUAAUAAGUUCCAAAUCCAGGAAGCAGAUGUUCUGAGGUGCGUUUAUUUAUUCAGCAUGGACACGUGUGGUGCCGUGAUCUGGCUGCCUAAGUGCUCUUACAAGACCGGAAAUCCUUCCCAAGGAAUUUUAUACACGAGAAGCCCCUUUCCUGCCUCCUAGUUUCCAAGACUAUGCUUUGAAACUUAACACCUGGCUGGCUCGGUUCCCUCUGCAACUCAAGGUCUCCAUCAUCUGACCUUGAGCCCAUGACCUACUUGUUAGGGGAGCCUCCCUGACAGUAGGGAAGGUGAUAAAUUACCCCACAUAUAUUUGCCUUACAGACUAUUGUGUUGUCUUUAAGAAGAACGGUGCUUUAUUCUAAGAAAAUGACCGAGCACUGCGGUACCGUUCCACCGUGAACUAGCCCCAGUUGCUGGGGUGACAGGGCUGCAUCAUCAGGCUGGCUGGCAGCCAAUUCCAUACACCAGAUAGAUGGUGGAACAGAAGGAGUCUGUCUGGAAGGAGUCUCAAGAAAAAGGAAUUCAAAAUGGAGGCACUUUGGUUCGGGCAAUUCAACAGGUGUCUGGAGGCCAUUGGGCACACCCACCCAGAAGCAAGCUCACCCUGGAAGUACUGCUGACAUCCCCUAGCCCCCUCCCACAGCACUCCCACCCACCAAGUGAGCCAGAGGCUAAGCUAUCCCCAAGCUCUUCUUAACAGCUUAACUUUAAAUUCCUGACUAAUGGAUGAUGUCAUUGCCAGCCCCUUGAGGCUCAAAGCUAAACACAGAGCAUGUUUUUCUAGGCAGCUGGAGCCUGUGUUUUCCUAGACUGCAACCCUAAUUAGCCCCAAACAAAUGCAAUGCUCUUUGUGUUCCAGUGGGCUGAAUUUUCCCUUUUCUGAAUCUGCUUUGGGUGUCAAGUCUAACAAGACAACUUGGACCAGCCCUCUCCUCUCCUUCCUUCAUCUGAAAGAUUUCUGUUUUAGAUUCAAGUCUGUGAUGCAGUGUGAGGCAUGGCUCUGAGUCCAUUUGAUUUGACUUCUUUGUUUAUUUUUUUAUUUUUUUUUUUUUUUUGUCCAUAGCUGCUCAAGGUUGCUUUGUGCUGACUUUUGAUAGUCAAUCCCGCCUGCUCUGUGAUUCAUUUCAUUUUUGUAUUUUGCUUCCCUGGGAGCCUCAGGCUAGCCUGAGGGUUUGACUGAACAGAGAGAAAGCAUUUUUUGGAUCAUGUAACUCAGUACAGCAUUCCCACUGAACUUCCUGCCUAGCUUCACUCGCAGGGUUGAGAGAAUAAAUUGAAGGUAUGUUUGAGAAAGCAGUUUACAGUUGCAAGUCCACAGAGCAGAUGUGCAAGCUAUGUUUGCAUGUGUCGCGUGUUGGACAGUUUGGGACAAGUCCGACAUCCAGAGAGUAUAGCCUUUGCAACUGUAGCAUAUUUUCUGUUGAGGUGUUUUCUGGCACAGGCUGCUCCCCCCACAAAAAUACUGAUCUGGCUAGUCAUGUAUCCCUUAUCAGCCAAUAUUUUAUUUAUGUUCAAAGGGGCAAGUAACAAAGUAAAAAUAAGGAUAUUAAAUUUUA
Non-coding RNA from Cricetulus griseus (Chinese hamster), 5154 nucleotides. The record is from RefSeq and is a predicted model, not a curated record. Lineage: Eukaryota; Metazoa; Chordata; Mammalia; Rodentia; Cricetidae.